RNAcentral lists this ribosomal RNA (253 nucleotides) under uncultured bacterium. RNAcentral describes it as "partial 16S ribosomal RNA". It matches the Rfam family "Bacterial small subunit ribosomal RNA", at positions 524 to 776 of the family's 1533-position model. The record is from RNAcentral.
UACGUAGGGUGCAAGCGUUAAUCGGAAUUACUGGGCGUAAAGCGCACGUAGGCGGUUUUUUAAGUCAGAUGUGAAAGCCCCGGGCUCAACCUGGGAAUUGCAUUUGAAACUGGGAAACUAGAGUGUGUCAGAGGGGGGUAGAAUUCCACGUGUAGCAGUGAAAUGCGUAGAGAUGUGGAGGAAUACCGAUGGCGAAGGCAGCCCCCUGGGAUAACACUGACGCUCAUGCACGAAAGCGUGGGGAGCAAACAGG